CUCGGCUAAACACAAUGGGAUUGUCACGAGAGGAUAAGGUCAAAGCCCUAAAAGUCUUUAAGAAUGCUGACAAUCGCGAGCUCUUCCUUUGCGUUGAUAUGGAUACAGCUCUCAUGUGGCUGCAAGGCGAAAUGGCUUAGGAAAGGAGAAAGAGAUGACAUGAUGAUGAAGCUUUUUUAGAUCUUGUCGUCUUCCAGCUUAUAUGAUGGGAGAUCAAGGAUGAACCGACUAAUGUUUGAUCAGAUGUCUACUAAGUUAUUUUGAUCAGGCUAUUCUAUGCUGCGUUUUUGCUAUUUAGCCGUGAAUAUAUAUGGUGUAAUAUUGGCAAAAAAGACUGCUAAACUGGUGUUUGGUUCAGCCAUGUAGUACAAGCUGGCUUGGUUUA
Lolium rigidum is the source of this 385-nucleotide long non-coding RNA. RefSeq lists it as uncharacterized. NCBI's taxonomy places the organism in Eukaryota, Viridiplantae, Streptophyta, Magnoliopsida, Poales, Poaceae. The transcript is spliced from 2 exons. The record is from RefSeq and is a predicted model, not a curated record.